CUUCUAUCCUCUUCUGCUAAAUUGUUCUAGAUCUUUUUCAUCUUCAUUUAUCUUUAUCAAAGUUUCAUCCCUUUCUGACGUGCUUUGCUCAUUAGUCUUCUCCGUUGCGUCUUACCCUGUUCAAGUCACCAGAUGCCAUCUUUUCUCGAAGAUUAGCCUUUUUCUAGCGUCGCUCAAAUUUUUUUUUUUUUUUGUAAGAAUUUUAUGGUUUUCAAUUAAUCACUCAAUUACUAGCUCUUCUAAGAAAUUUUGUGUUCCAAGGACCAAGGUCAACCAAGUUAUGUGGAAUUAAUUGUUAUUUAGCUGAUAAGCUUAAUUGCUUUUGGUGGAUCAGAUAGCCAGCAUUUCUUACAACAAAUCAUGGGAUGGCUAAGGAGGAUCCAUUGAAACCUGGUGAAACUUGUGAUUGAAGACUACCAUUAUGCAAAAUGACCUACUCAUAUAGUAUGAUCGUGUUGGUUGUUGAAUUCAUUCGAGAAAGAAAAACUUGAUCGUGUUGCUAUUUAUUCUCCAUUGCGUGCAUGUUGGACAUAUAUAUAAAGAGCAAACGGUUUCUACAUUAGAUGUGCCAUCAUCUGCUUGUCUGAAAGCACUACGUUGUACUACUACUCUCUUUUUUCUGAAGCACCUAAUGCCUAGGAAUGGAAGUGAAGUUGAAGUUGAAGUUGAAGUUGUAUUCUGGACUUCAUUCUGGACUUCUUUGUCUGAAAUUUACAAGUGCUGAAGUUGUAUUUUCUAUUCUGAAUGAGGUUCAUAAUCUUACACAUC
Molecule: long non-coding RNA, 768 nt
Organism: Nicotiana attenuata
Lineage: Eukaryota; Viridiplantae; Streptophyta; Magnoliopsida; Solanales; Solanaceae
Exons: 2
Source: RefSeq, a predicted model, not a curated record